RNAcentral lists this long non-coding RNA (417 nucleotides) under Cricetulus griseus (Chinese hamster). RNAcentral describes it as "lncRNA (ENSCGRG00000024738.1)". Lineage: Eukaryota; Metazoa; Chordata; Mammalia; Rodentia; Cricetidae. The record is from RNAcentral.
CCAGCCCCUCCCUAUUCAGAACUUUGGAGGUUAAGAGGAAAGGUUCAAGCACUGAACAAUGAUGUUUUUGUGUGGUGCUUUAGGCCAGGUCCUGUAUCAUCUUUGCUUCUCUUCCUGAAAGGUAGCCCUCUUCAUCUGCAAGUGAUAAAUGACCCACAAAGUGCCUUACAGAAACUGAUGGGGAGCACCAAGGCAGGGACCCAUGUUUGGUCCAAUCAGAAUCUCAAUGACCAGGUCCUUGCAGCAUCUGAGAUGUUGAGUCCCAUAUGUCAUAUGGACCUGUGAGUCUCCGAACAAACAAGACUUGGCAGCAGGCCCCAAAGGGAAAAAAUCAUCAUGAGAAACUCUGCUAAGAAGUAAACAAUUAAUACAAUAAAAAGAUGACCCACAGAAUGAAGCAGUGUGCAAAUCAUAUGU